UUUCGUAAUCCAUCAUCCAAUGACUAAAGAACAAACCGUUGAACAGAAUUUACCAAAAAAAAAAAUCAAAAUCAAAAUAGGGCAAGAACAUACUGUAUACGAUGAUAGAGGUAAAGUGUACUGACAUGCCACCAGCUGGAAUGAAGCCAAGAAUGCGUUGGUAAUUACCAUCCGAUGGCGUUGGAUUUCAUGUGGUUUAGCGCUAUAUCAGAUUAAUAACACAUAAGGCUUUCGUGGGUUAUCUAGCUAGCUGUAUUUUCCGCCUGCUAUUAGCUCUUUAGGUGGCGUUGGAUUUCUAUUGUGAGACUUGACCGUCGGGCAGCACGUGUUUGAUCUAUCAGAUUAUCGAGAGGAUAAACAGAUGCAUUUGUCAACAACAAUAAUGAACUUGAAGCUUAACACUGUUUUGCAAGCACUUAACGAGUACCGGUACUGAUGCUUGCGUUUCUCUACGCUGAUAGGUUCGCACGCAUCAUCUGCUGAACGAACCAUAUCAAAGAGGCCAGGAUGGGCUUGGUGUUACUUUCUGUUGUUGGUGUUAGCUACACAAUUUCUGUCCUUACAACUAUUGUGUCUCUGUUUGUGCCUGCCAUUUCGCACGCGUGGAUCGUUAGUUCGUUAUCAAGUAAAUCAACUCUUUCUAUUGGAAUUUUUAAAACUUGCCAAGAGAUUUUUGGUCGAAAGAUUGUCUGCGGAACCCCGGAAGAUCUACCUAACGAAUGGUUCUUCACUUUUCUUUUUAUCCUUUGUGGACUCAUAAACCUUAUUGUUGCGAACUCAAUAGUCUAUUAUGAUAUUUAUAAUUGGCACUGGAGGCGACGUCGAACAAGAAAUAAAAAUGCAAAGAAUUUGGCUUUUAUUUCAUGUUUAUUUUAUAGUCUUGCUUCCGUCAUUUACCCCAUCAGUUUUCGGACACCGAUGAUAGGGGGUGCUGCAUUCAAAUUGCCGUCAGCAUUCCACAUCGGGCCUGGCUAUUACACUUUCGGUGCUGCGUGGUUUUUUCUUGUCAUUGGAACCGCUUUUGCAUUUACUGGAAGACUUUUCUGGAAAGUUCUUGUAAUCAUAUUUGGCUCAUAAUAUCGUUUUUCUAAUAAUUUCAAAAUCCAUUAACGAAAAAACAAAACCAAAUACACUGUUACACUAGGCCACUGCUGUAUAAUUCCUUCUGUAUCCAAUGUUUAGGUAUGUCUAUUUUUGUGUUUAUUCAUGGUUUAUUAAACCUGUUACUGUCGGAAUUUAUCGCACUUGCUUUUUUAAGCCAGGCUCCGAAGGAAAAAUUGAUAUGUAUAACCAUGGAGGAAAUAUCCUUCAUGGUAUAGGCCUAACUGAGACAGACCCAAAACAAUUAGACCCAAAAAGCAUAUUUGACAAAAGCUCGGGAACGGUCAUUAAGAUAUAUUUAUAUAUCUUAAAAACGUAACGUAAUGUAACCACCCCUUUCCACCCCACCCCCAGUUUUUAAAUAUACAUUAAAAAAAAUUAUAUCUCAACCGCCACCAAGUUUCGUCAAAUAUGCGUUUUGUUUUUGUCUUAGAAAAAUCAGUUAUACAACUUACCAAGCGUUGUUCCACCGGAGCCUAACCUGACUUUACACGAAAAAAAUUACAAAUAGAAAUGAUUAAAAUGUAAAUAGCUGACUCGCAUGUAGUUUAAAUUAGUCAUACGUUACCUAACUGUUUGUUUUUUUUUUUCAUUCUGUAAAAAAGCAGUGAUAAACUUUUAAGUGUUAUUUUUUAUAUUAGGUUUUAUUUUUACAUUAUAACGUCGUAGCCUAAAGCUUUACUAUCGAAAAUAAAAUAGAUUGAUAUUUAUAUCGAUUUUCUGUAUUUUUGUAAUAAUAAUAAAUAUAGUAUAGUGCCUAUAA
This 1864-nucleotide long non-coding RNA is filed under the name Anneissia japonica. Its description in RNAcentral is "uncharacterized LOC117113226". The record is from RNAcentral. Lineage: Eukaryota; Metazoa; Echinodermata; Crinoidea; Comatulida; Comatulidae.